CACGGGGGGAACGCGAAGAACCUUACCUGGAUUUGACAUGCAGUUGAUCGCUGUAGAAAUACAGUUUUCUCGCAAGAGACAAUUGCACAGGUGCUGCAUGGCUGUCGUCAGCUCGUGCCGUGAGGUGUUGGGUUAAGUCCCGCAACGAGCGCAACCCUUGUCGUUAGUUGCCAGCAUGUAAUGAUGGGCACUCUAGCGAGACUGCCUAGGUUAACUAGGAGGAAGGUGAGGAUGACGUCAAGUCCGCAUGGCCUUUAUAUCCAGGGCUACACACGUGCUACAAUGGCUGGUACAGAAGGAAGCAACACCGCGAGGUAGAGCAAAUCCGCAAAAGCCAGCCCCAGUUCGGAUUGUAGUCUGCAACUCGACUACAUGAAGUUGGAAUUGCUAGUAAUGGCGAGUCAGCAACAUCGCCGUGAAUACGUUCCCGGGUCUUGUACACACGC
This 446-nucleotide ribosomal RNA is filed under the name uncultured soil bacterium. RNAcentral describes it as "bacterial SSU rRNA". It matches the Rfam family "Bacterial small subunit ribosomal RNA", at positions 950 to 1393 of the family's 1533-position model. The record is from RNAcentral.